GCCCAGAAGGCAGCUCGAGAAGCUGGAGCCGUUGGAGCCCUCUGCCCUCCGCAGGUACACCAAACAGAUUUCUUCUCCACGUGGUCUACUUGGUCGUAGAAUAC
This is a long non-coding RNA of Octodon degus (degu), 104 nucleotides long. RefSeq lists it as uncharacterized. NCBI's taxonomy places the organism in Eukaryota, Metazoa, Chordata, Mammalia, Rodentia, Octodontidae. The record is from RefSeq and is a predicted model, not a curated record. The transcript has 3 exons.